Drosophila miranda is the source of this 1033-nucleotide RNA transcript. It is a transcript of the gene named borealin-like, with no coding region annotated. NCBI's taxonomy places the organism in Eukaryota, Metazoa, Arthropoda, Insecta, Diptera, Drosophilidae. The record is from RefSeq and is a predicted model, not a curated record. The transcript has 3 exons.
UAGUUUGUGUUUUUUCAUAACCAAGUAGCCUGUGAAUUAUUGUAUUCGUUAGAAUUAUUGUAGCAAGUAUCAUAAUUCAUAAGUCGGUCGGAAGUUGAGAAAGAUGCCUCGCACCCGAAUUGUGACGCGUCAGGCGAAGCGCGAGAAAGCGGACCAAGAGGAGAAGGUACGCCUAACUCAAAUCAAGAUCGAUGCAGUUCUGGAGCAGGUCGAUGAGCUUGAGAUGCGCGCCAAGACUGAGGUGGAGACUCAAAUCAAGCUCAUCCACGCCCGGACUAACACGCAUUUAAUUGAGAUGAAAAUGUCGGAGUUUUUGAAUAUGAAGCUGAAAUAUUUCACCGACUACAAGUGGAAGGUUCCCGAGCCACCAACCAGCCGAGCACGCAGCACCGAUCGCGGACGUUCGCGUACUCCCCAGACCUCCCUUCUGCCGCGCUCACUCAUACAAUCGAUGGACAGGAGUCAUUUUAAGCGUGGAAGAACCCCACAGAAAGUGCCACCCAUGGCUUUUUUACGUUUUCCACGCGCCGGAGAGUUGGUGCUGUCCAGUGGCGGCAGCCCGCUGGCUGUUCAGACUGAUCGGCGGGAGAACUGUGCCGACGUACACAUACCCACCAAAAAGGGCGUGUUCAUGGUAAAUCCCCUUAAAAUGAAGCAAGUGAACCGUGAGGUGCUCAUGCAACUGGACUCGAAUGUACUGAACCAAGUGAAGACUUUGAAGAGUAAUCUGGAAGUAAUUGUGGACAUGGCCACCAAAAUGGGCAAGAUGUAGUAUACGCCCUGGACCGCGACUUUGGACGACCUUACAACCCGACAAAGAUGUAUGUACAAAAUGGAUAAUUCAUAUGGAACAAAUGGCAAACUUAAGUUUGCUUGCUACACUCGACUUUGAUCUUCCCACGAACUACGCUUAAUCCAACCCAAUCAACCAAUCCUCCAAUCAACAAUGCCUUCUGCUUCUCCAUCCCAACUAACUUUUUUCGUUUCAUUUUGUAUCCUCUACAGAAUGAUGAAUAAAUAAUAUUAAAACCAA